This 441-nucleotide ribosomal RNA is filed under the name uncultured bacterium. RNAcentral describes it as "bacterial SSU rRNA". It matches the Rfam family "Bacterial small subunit ribosomal RNA", at positions 338 to 795 of the family's 1533-position model. The record is from RNAcentral.
CCUACGGGAGGCUGCAGUGGGGAAUAUUGCGCAAUGGGGGAAACCCUGACGCAGCAACGCCGCGUGAAGGAAGAAGGCCUUCGGGUCGUAAACUUUUGUCUUUAGGGAAGAAUGAUGACGGUACCUAAGGAGGAAGCCACGGCUAACUACGUGCCAGCAGCCGCGGUAAUACGUAGGGGGCAAGCGUUAUCCGGAAUCACUGGGUGUAAAGGGUGCGUAGGCGGUAGGGCAAGUCAGAUGUGAAAGCCCGGAGCUCAACUCCGGGAUUGCAUUUGAAACUGUCUUACUAGAGUGCAGGAGAGGAAAGCGGAAUUCCUAGUGUAGCGGUGAAAUGCGUAGAUAUUAGGAAGAACACCAGUGGCGAAGGCGGCUCUCUGGACUGUAACUGACGCUGAGGCACGAAAGCGUGGGGAGCGAACAGGAUUAGAUACCCGUGUAGUC